GUGGGGAAUAUUGCGCAAUGGGCGAAAGCCUGACGCAGCCACGCCGCGUGUGUGAUGAAGGCCUUCGGGUUGUAAAGCACUGUCGAGGGGGAAGAAGCAAUGACGGUACCCCUCAAGAAAGCGCCGGCUAACCCUGUGCCAGCAGCCGCGGUAAUACAGGGGGCGCGAGCGUUGCUCGGAAUCACUGGGCGUAAAGCGAACGCAGGCGGACCGUUAAGUCGCAUGUGAAAGCCCGGGGCUCAACCCCGGAAGUGCAUGCGAAACUGGCGGUCUUGAGUACGGGAGAGGUGGGUGGAAUUCCUGGUGUAGAGGUGAAAUUCGUAGAUAUCAGGAGGAACACCGGUGGCGAAAGCGGCCCACUGGCCCGAUACUGACGCUCAUGUUCGAAAGCGUGGGGAGCAAACAGGAUUAGAUACCCGAGUAGUCC
Molecule: ribosomal RNA, 427 nt
Filed under: uncultured bacterium
Lineage: Bacteria
Description: bacterial SSU rRNA
Rfam family: Bacterial small subunit ribosomal RNA
Source: RNAcentral